AGAUGUUGGGGUUAAGUCCCGUAACGAGCGCAACCCUUGUCCUUAGUUACCAGCACAUAAUGGUGGGCACUCUAAGGAGACUGCCGGUGACAAACCGGAGGAAGGUGGGGAUGACGUCAAGUCAUCAUGGCCCUUACGGCCUGGGCUACACACGUGCUACAAUGGUCGGUACAAAGGGUUGCCAAGCCGCGAGGUGGAGCUAAUCCCAUAAAACCGAUCGUAGUCCGGAUCGCAGUCUGCAACUCGACUGCGUGAAGUCGGAAUCGCUAGUAAUCGUGAAUCAGAAUGUCACGGUGAAUACGUUCCCGGGCCUUGUACACACCGCCCGUCACACCAUGGGAGUGGGUUGCACCAGAAGUAGCUAGUCUAACCU
RNAcentral lists this ribosomal RNA (373 nucleotides) under Pseudomonas sp. Jean06r. RNAcentral's name for it is "bacterial SSU rRNA". It matches the Rfam family "Bacterial small subunit ribosomal RNA", at positions 1070 to 1441 of the family's 1533-position model. Lineage: Bacteria; Pseudomonadati; Pseudomonadota; Gammaproteobacteria; Pseudomonadales; Pseudomonadaceae. The record is from RNAcentral.